ACAAAAUUUCAGUUGCCAUCCACCACAGAGAAAAUAAGAUACCAUAGGCCAAAUAUUUGUGCCCCCCCCUCAAAUUUAUAUUGUUGAAGUGUAAUCCCCAAAGUGGAAGUAGGGCCUUUGGAAGGUGAGUAGGUCAUAGGAGUGGAACCCUCAUGAAAGGGAUUAGUGUCCUCAUAAAGGGAGCCCCAGAGAGCUCCUGUGUCCCUUUGUAAUGUGUGGAGACACAGUGCUAAGAAAAACAUCUAUAAACCAGGAAGCAGGUCCUCACCUCACACUGAAUCUAGUGGUGCAUCGAUUGUGGACUUCCAGUCUCCAGAGAACUAGAACAAACAAUCCUAAAAUUUGUGUGGAACCACAAAGGACCUUAAAUCGCCAAAGCAAUCUUGAGAAAGCAGAACAAGGCUGGAAGCAUCAUAAUUCCAGAUUUCAAGUUAUAUUACACAGUGGUGGUGAUUAAAACAGUAUGGUAAUGGCACAAAAGUAGACACAAAGAUCAGUGGAAUAGAAAACCCAGAAAUAAAUCCACACUUCGACAAAGGAGGAAAGAAUAUGUAACGUGAAAAAGACAGUCUCUUCAACCAAUGGUAUUGGAAAAACUGGUCAGCCACAUGCAAAAGGAUGAAACUGGACUUCUUUUCACCAUACACAAAAAGAGCCUCAAAAUGGAUUAGAGACCUAAAAGUGAGACCUGAAACCAUACAAAUCCUUGAAGAGAACACAAAUAGUAAUCUCUCCGACAUCAGCUGUAUAACAUUUUUCUGGAUAUGUCUCCUGAGACAAGGGAAGUAAAAGUAAAAAUAAGCUAGUGGGACUUCAUCAAAAUAAAAUGCUUCUACACAGUGAAGGAAACAAUCAACAAAACUAAAAGGCAACCAAUGGAAUGGGAGAAGAUAUUUGCAAAUGACAUAUCCAAUAAAGGGUUAGUAUCCAAAAUAUAUAAAGAACUGAUACAACUCAACACCCCAAAACAAAUAAUCCCAUUAACAAUGGGCAGAAGACAUGAACAGACAUUUCUCCAAAGAAGACAUACAAAUGGCCAACAGACACAUGAAAAGAUGUUCAUCAUCACUUGCCACCAGGGAAAUGCAAAUCAUAAUGCAAGUCUAAGUGUCAUGGAGAGGCACACGGGGAAUACUAGCUGAGGUCUGAAUUUUUUAAAACACAAGCCAUACCUCUAAAACAUACUUGGUGUUUAUUAAAAUAACGGAGCGUGGUACUCUCUGAAGUCAACAGAAGAUUAAGAUGAAGGAACCGAGCCUUCUUUAUUUUUGUUGCUUUUGUAAGCAGUUAGAAAACUUGCAAAGACAGUGACUUGCUUACCAAUCCAGACUUAGUCUCUCA
This is a long non-coding RNA of Acinonyx jubatus (cheetah), 1341 nucleotides long. RefSeq lists it as uncharacterized. NCBI's taxonomy places the organism in Eukaryota, Metazoa, Chordata, Mammalia, Carnivora, Felidae. The record is from RefSeq and is a predicted model, not a curated record. The transcript has 2 exons.